GGGUUAACAAACCAAAUCUUCCACUUGCAUCGCGAUUUUCAGGCUUUGUGGAAACAACAGCUUGUCUGAUACAUGACUGCCAUCCCAAAAAAGCUAUAAACUUCUUAAUGUGCUUUAGGAAGGGAUGAAUGGGAGUUUUGAUGGCCCACUCUGCAAGCAACCCAUACCAUUGAUUUGAUGGGUUUCAUCAUGGAUACACCAUGAAGUAAGAAUCUUAGUUGGGUACAGUCCCAACCUCGGUUCCAUCAUGGAUACACCAUGAAGUAAGGCAUCUGUUGACUGUUACCCAGCUCAUUGCUGUAGGUGGCUCAACAUCUUGAUUGUGUUGCAGGAUUUGAUGUUCCCCUUACUCAUUUGAGCUA
Magnolia sinica is the source of this 362-nucleotide long non-coding RNA. RefSeq lists it as uncharacterized. The transcript has 3 exons. NCBI's taxonomy places the organism in Eukaryota, Viridiplantae, Streptophyta, Magnoliopsida, Magnoliales, Magnoliaceae. The record is from RefSeq and is a predicted model, not a curated record.